Mastomys coucha (southern multimammate mouse) is the source of this 615-nucleotide long non-coding RNA. RefSeq lists it as uncharacterized. Lineage: Eukaryota; Metazoa; Chordata; Mammalia; Rodentia; Muridae. The record is from RefSeq and is a predicted model, not a curated record. The transcript has 2 exons.
CAUAGAGCCUCCCACUGCCACACCCUAGAGCCUUCUUUCUGCCAUGUCCUUCUCUCUUCCUAGGCAGCUAUUCCCAAGAGCACUAAUCAACAGACGGACGGCCGUGCUAAGAUGUCUACGCAUAGUCCUUGAGUCUGGGCCUCCGCUGAGGAAGAACAGCCUGAAGCCUAAAGUGGGAAAAGUUCUUUACCUCGUGGUCAAUGGGAAACAGAAAAAGAGGACAGGACUGGGGACCACUUGUAACCUUCCAAAGCAUAGCUCACAGUGACUCACUUCCUUUAACUGGCCCCCUUGUCCCAAAGCACCCAACCACAUCCCCAGAUAGCAGACACCAUCUGAGGACUAAGUGUUCAAAGCAAGAGCUUGUGGGUUGCAGUUCACUUUCAAUUCCUAAGGGGAGCAUUUUGGAUUUCAAUAUGCUCAACUUGGAUUAUUUGUAUUGGUUGGUGGGUGUUCUUUCUCUUUUUCUGGAUGAGCAUCUUUUGUUGUCGAUUCAAAUGCCAAUGUCUCUGUAACUCUCAGGAUCACCCACCUAAGAGUGCUGUCUUUUGACUUGUUGAUGAAUACCAAAGAUGCACAAAGUAAAUUCCAGCAGAAUAUGGAUGGAAAUGUCAA